Molecule: non-coding RNA, 30 nt
Filed under: Mus musculus (house mouse)
Lineage: Eukaryota; Metazoa; Chordata; Mammalia; Rodentia; Muridae
Source: RNAcentral
UGGAUAAAAAGCAUGAGCGGUGAUGCCCCU